ACGGGGGGAGCAAGCGUUGUUCGGAUUUACUGGGCGUAAAGGGCGCGUAGGCGGCCAGCGCAAGUCAGUUGUGAAAUCUCCGGGCUUAACUCGGAAAGGUCAACUGAUACUGCGCGGCUAGAGUGCGGAAGGGGCAACUGGAAUUCUUGGUGUAGCGGUGAAAUGCGUAGAGAUGUGGAGGAACACCGAUGGCGAAGGCAGCCCCCUGGGUCAACACUGACGCUCAUGCACGAAAGCGUGGGGAGCAAACAGGA
RNAcentral lists this ribosomal RNA (254 nucleotides) under uncultured prokaryote. RNAcentral's name for it is "partial 16S ribosomal RNA". It matches the Rfam family "Bacterial small subunit ribosomal RNA", at positions 525 to 777 of the family's 1533-position model. The record is from RNAcentral.